This 96-nucleotide transfer RNA is filed under the name Desulfuromonas sp. RNAcentral describes it as "tRNA-Sec". It matches the Rfam family "Selenocysteine transfer RNA". The record is from RNAcentral. Lineage: Bacteria; Pseudomonadati; Thermodesulfobacteriota; Desulfuromonadia; Desulfuromonadales; Desulfuromonadaceae.
GGGAGUAGCUAGCGGCCUGGUGGCGCUCCCGGUCUUCAAAACCGGUGGGGGGCGCGUUCCGUCCCUGGUGAGUUCGAUUCUCAUCUACUCCCGCCA